GUCUGCGCCUUCAUAUUCCUACAGCUUCUCAGAGUCCUGUGGACAGUGCCUGAGGGGACAAACCAUGCAGG
Molecule: small nucleolar RNA, 71 nt
Organism: Echinops telfairi (small Madagascar hedgehog)
Lineage: Eukaryota; Metazoa; Chordata; Mammalia; Afrosoricida; Tenrecidae
Gene: SNORA73
Rfam family: Small nucleolar RNA SNORA73 family
About the family: U17 (SNORA73A and SNORA73B) also known as E1 belongs to the H/ACA class of small nucleolar RNAs (snoRNAs). Vertebrate U17 is intron-encoded and ranges in length from 200-230 nucleotides, longer than most snoRNAs.
Source: Ensembl